AUACUAUAACGUAACCGUGCGUUAUUCAACAGUGCGAAAACAUUCGCUAGCCGGACUUAUCAGGCCGGCUUGGGGUUUUAAUUGAACGUUAUUAAGUUAUUAGAAAUGUGCUGUCGCAGCGACCGAUAAUUUUUUAUUUGGAUACAAAUUGAUUGGUUUUUAUUAUUUGGUGACUGUUGCCGGGAGGAGUAAGAGUAACCUUUGGACGAGCUGGAUUAGAUAUUAGAUAGUCGAGGACUGUGUCGAAGUAUAUGGCAAUAUAUUUUGAAAUUCCAUACCUACAAACCUUUGUUAUUAAUGAAACAUUAUUUAUCUAUUUUAGCAGUAUUAAAGGCUUAUAAUAGUUCAGAACUAUCAGAAACAUUUCAUCUAUUGAGUCUUGUCUUUAUAUUAUUACUGGAAAUAUUGCAGCAACAACUCAAAUGAUUGAAUAUUCUUCAAAAAACAAUGUUAAUGGUGUUUUUAAAAAUAUACAUUAGUGAAUGGCCCCUUGGUUGGCACUAAAAAGGAAUGAAGAUAGAGAAAAAUGUACACUAACAAGGAAACGUUUCCGAUGAAGUAUAUUUCCAAAAAUUUUAAAAUGAUUUAAGAAAACUAAGAACCAGAGUUCAUUUGAAGGAUAAAAAUUUGUGAUGUUUGAAAGAAAACGGAUCAUAGGGAUUAAUUGUUGAUACGGCUGCCAUAAAAGGCUUUUCCGAGCAAAUGCAUUAAUAACUAAUUGUAAGAGAGGAAUUUGGACAUUAGUAACAGAUCUAGAUAAUGUUAUAACAAUAAUAUGUCUUUUUAGGGUUCAAAAAUAUAAUAAAUUAUAACGGUUAAGCCUU
This is a long non-coding RNA of Anoplophora glabripennis (Asian longhorned beetle), 824 nucleotides long. RefSeq lists it as uncharacterized. The record is from RefSeq and is a predicted model, not a curated record. NCBI's taxonomy places the organism in Eukaryota, Metazoa, Arthropoda, Insecta, Coleoptera, Cerambycidae. The transcript has 2 exons.